Molecule: ribosomal RNA, 253 nt
Filed under: uncultured bacterium
Lineage: Bacteria
Description: partial 16S ribosomal RNA
Rfam family: Bacterial small subunit ribosomal RNA
Source: RNAcentral
GACAGAGGCCUCAAGCGUUAGGCGGAAUCACUGGGCUUAAAGCGUGUGUAGGCGGCUAGUUAAGUGUCUUGUGAAAUCCCACGGCUCACCCGUGGAACUGCUGGGCAUACUGGCGAUCUUGGGCCAACUAGGGGCAACUGGAACAAGCGGUGGAGCGGUGAAAUGCGUAGAUAUCGCGUGGAACGCCAAAGGUGAAAGCAGGUUGCUGGGGAUGGGCCGACGCUGAGACACGAAAGCCAGGGGAGCAAACGGG